RNAcentral lists this unclassified non-coding RNA (806 nucleotides) under Hevea brasiliensis (rubber tree). The record is from RNAcentral. Lineage: Eukaryota; Viridiplantae; Streptophyta; Magnoliopsida; Malpighiales; Euphorbiaceae.
GAAAGCACAUUCCUCCUAGUCAUGUAAGUAUUUCAAAUCCUGAAUCUGGUCUGUAAUGAGCUGUAAAAUAGAGGUAAAGUCAUAGAUGCCGUGCAGUGGCUCAACCAGAUGGACAUUUUUUUUUAAUGAGCAGCUCUGAUGAAAUGUUAUAUGAUGGUUCUCCUCACUGCAAAGUUUUAUGCAUGUCAAGUGGCUGCUGGGCCUGCUCAAAUAUUGCUAAUGUUUUGCCCUGACUUUUUUAUUCCUAACCAAUUCUCUUGAGUUGAUGAAUUGUGGUCUUUUGUCACAAUUUUGGAAAAACGGUAGACUUUGUCUUUUCUGUAUGAGAAUAUCUCUUUCCACAUGUGUAAACCAGCCAUUCCAUGCAUGACAAUGGUAAUUUCCCUUAUGCGCUCACUAGUUUUUACCUAUACAUGACCUGGACUUUUGAGUUUUUCACCCCUAAUGUGGUGUAGCCUUUUCUUCUUUACAAUUCAUUUUUUAUUUGUUUUACAAAAUGAGACUUCAAGGAAAUUGAAAUUUUUGACCAAAGGAGCAUGGAUUACUCAAGAAUUCAGUUCUAUUAUUACAAAAAAAGAAGGCAAGGCCCACUAUCAAAGACCAAAACAAUGUCCUAUACUUUCAUUCCCUUGUAAAUAGGGGUAAUAUGGGCGGGCGGGGAAGACAUUGCCUCAAACUCGCAAAGGUGGGCAACCUCACUAAGGCGCACCCAGGCGCGCAGUAGCAAGGUCAACUCCACCGUUGCAGAAAAAGCAACUGGAGGGGAAAAAAAGAACUAGACGAAGAAGAGGAAGAAGGAGAAGGAG